AAAUAUUCACUUUUGUACACAUUUUCUUUAAAUAUCAGAUGUAUACUUGCUAAAAUUACUUUUAUUUAGAGUUCUGUAAAUUGAAAAAAAUGUAAGCAGAGCUCUAGCUAUAGAUAAUAGAUUUGGAGGGUGGGAGAAAUUGUGGGUAACUACAAUUGAUUAGGUGAAAUUUCAAAAGACUUAAAAAGUGCAUCUGAUAUUUAUUUUUACAUAAUGUUAUUUCUGAAAGCAAAUGGACAAUAAGAUGAGGACAUAAACCACCUUCCAGGUUAGGAUAGCAGCUCUUAAGGAAGAUGGUCAAUUAAAUCUUCAACCCAGUCUGAGGCCUUACCAUGAAAAAAAUGUGGUUGUUGAAAUUACAAUGUUUUCAUGGUGUGGGGAGUAAGACUUGAAUAUCUGAUAUUGUUAACAUGAUGGUUAGCAUCACAAGUUUCCUUUGGGUAACUUGCUUGAGGAGUAAAGAGAGCUGUUUAAGUUGAAAGUGUCACUUUUGCUGCCUUGUGUGGUACAAUCUUCAGACAAUAUCCUGCAAACCGUGGCUGAACUGUUACUAUCUUUUUUUAGUAGAAUCCUUAGACAGUAAUCUUGUGGCAGAAUGAGUUGUAAACAAAUUGUUUUUAUUCCUGUAUUGAGUUUCAAAUUGGAUAUUUUUUUAUUUAUAUUAUUUGUAUUCCAUUUGCAUUCAAUUAUUGUUUUUUAAUUGAUGAAUCAUUAAAACUUAAAUUUUGCGGCGUCCUAAAGGACUUUCUUAGAGGGGGCCAGCGCAAUUGAUUAAACAAAAUUUUUCCCGCAACAGGGAGAGGAGACAUCCCCAUAAAUAUGCCUUUGAAAUGGGGUGUUAAAGAAGAUUUGUAUUGUUUGUUUGUUUGUCCAUCAUCAGCUCUCAUCCACAGCUUGGUAGAUUUUCAUUGAAACUUUCAGCUGAUUUUCUGUACUAAAGGCAGUAUGUUUUUU
Molecule: long non-coding RNA, 954 nt
Organism: Mytilus trossulus (common blue mussel)
Lineage: Eukaryota; Metazoa; Mollusca; Bivalvia; Mytilida; Mytilidae
Exons: 4
Source: RefSeq, a predicted model, not a curated record